RNAcentral lists this ribosomal RNA (243 nucleotides) under uncultured bacterium. Its description in RNAcentral is "partial 16S ribosomal RNA". It matches the Rfam family "Bacterial small subunit ribosomal RNA", at positions 28 to 258 of the family's 1533-position model. The record is from RNAcentral.
GACGAACGCUGGCGGCGUGCUUAACACAUGCAAGUCGAGCGGUAAGGCCCUUUCGGGGGUACGACGAGCGGCGAACGGGUGAGUAACACGUGGGUGACCUGCCCUCAGCUCUGGGAUAAGCCCGGGAAACUGGGUCUAAUACCGGAUAUGACCUUUCCUCGCAUGGGGUUUGGUGGAAAGCCUGGUCUUAAUUGAUUCGGCGGUUGGGGAUGGGCCCGCGGCCUAUCAGCUUGUUGGUGGGGU